GUCCACACAGUAAACGAUGAAUACUCGCUGUUUGCGAUAUACAGUAAGCGGCUAAGCGAAAGCGUUAAGUAUUCCACCUGGGGAGUACGCCGGCAACGGUGAAACUCAAAGGAAUUGACGGGGGCCCGCACAAGCGGAGGAACAUGUGGUUUAAUUCGAUGAUACGCGAGGAACCUUACCCGGGCUUGAACUGCCGGUGAACGAUACAGAGAUGUUGAGGCCCUUCGGGGCGCCGGUGGAGGUGCUGCAUGGUUGUCGU
RNAcentral lists this ribosomal RNA (259 nucleotides) under uncultured bacterium. RNAcentral's name for it is "partial 16S ribosomal RNA". It matches the Rfam family "Bacterial small subunit ribosomal RNA", at positions 793 to 1055 of the family's 1533-position model. The record is from RNAcentral.